Long non-coding RNA from Papaver somniferum (opium poppy), 4520 nucleotides. RefSeq lists it as uncharacterized. The transcript has 13 exons. NCBI's taxonomy places the organism in Eukaryota, Viridiplantae, Streptophyta, Magnoliopsida, Ranunculales, Papaveraceae. The record is from RefSeq and is a predicted model, not a curated record.
CCUUUUUCAAUGUGAAGUUCCCAGAAGAAACUCUUGUGUUCUUCUAUCCGAUUGGAGAAAAACUCAAAUUCAUCAACAAAUCCCCGUAAAGGUUCCUCCUUUGAUUCAAAUUGAUCUUCUAUGAUCUUCAUCACUUGUUUUCCUAAUGUCAAUUUGAAUUUACAGCCUUCCGUACCUCUCUCAAAACAUGCCAAAGGCGGCUCCUUUAGAUUUCUUCAUCAAUUACUCAAAAAGGUGCAAACUUUGAUUGGAAUAAUAGAUUUUUGUAUUGAUCUCAAUCAAUUAAAUAAUGAAUCAGUCUAGAUUGCUAGAUCGAUCCUGUUCAUGGGUGAACGAAGUAGCAGGGGAAGCAUCAAUCGAUCUGUCUAGAUUGCUAAUUCCAUAUGGAUAAGAGAUUGGUUCAAGUUUGAUGGCAACUUGUUGAUAUAAAGAGGUAAGGAGACUGCAGAAUCCUGGGUGUAGACUAACCACAGAGAUAGAUAUAAAGAAUCAAAGGAUGGAAUGCAUGGAAAAAAGGUCAACCGACCGACCUAUCGGUGUCUCUUGGUAUAAUGAAAGAUGAGAGAGAUAAUAUGAAUCAAGCUUGUCUUCAGCUCUUGACGUAAGAAAGAGAUCAGCUGAUUCAAGCUCACCUUGAAGUUGAUAGUUGGGAAUCCGUUUCAUCAAGCAGACUAUGAAACAUGAAAACAUGAAUUGGAAUAGCAGUCAAGUUGGACAUAUUGUAAGUUUAAUUUCUGUAUCUAGGUUGUUGUGGUUGAUUUUAUUGUUGGUAUUUAAGUCAUUUUCACAGCGCUUGUGGUUCCUUGUACCAUUCUCGUGUCUGAAAAUGACUAUAGUGAAAAACAUCCUGUAUGCUAUUUAACCAAGGAAUACCAUUUUGCUUUCUUGUCCUCAGCAAAGAUAGGAUAUAAUCAGUUUAUUAAAUUUUUGAAUGUGGCUUUGAUACCUUUGUGUGCAGUAUUAUCUGCCAAUGUUGCUUUUCUUGUUGGUAUUUGAUUGCGGUUUCUUAGGUGACUAUAGUAAAAAAAAAAAACUCUGGUGUGCUAAUAAUUUCAAGUGAGAGUGGCUGUUGUUUUCUUGUCCUAUGAGCUACUCGUAAGGGAUGGAAUGUUUUCGCAUUCCGCCGCUUUCAGAGUGAAGUAUGUAGCCCAUGGUGUAGGUGAGAUCCCUCUGCGGCGGUUCCUUCAAAUACUUCUCCACAGGCUAAAACCCUUCAUUUUGAAAGAGGUGGAGUGUCAAAGCACUCCACCGUAUUAGGAGUUGCUCUUAGAUGGGAGAUGAUCAGUUUACCGAAAACAGAACUUUGUAACAUCUUAUGCAAUAUAAAAAAAUCAUGUUUGGUGCAUGGAGAAUCUGGUAGAUUUAUAAUUCAUGUAUGACUAGUGUCGUAUGUGUGUUUUGGCCCUUUUGGAUUUCUGUGAUCAAUAAAGUGUACCAGUCAUAGUAUCAUCUUAAAUACAAUCAAAAGUACCGUUUCUGUUGUUGUAUUUAUUAUGGUAGUUUUGUCUUGAAUUAAUCUGUAGUAUCUCAAGAUAAGUAGUGCAAAGCUAAUGCCUGCGGCACUUCUGACUGCGUAACUUGUCAUGGGUCACUAGUUAACAAGGCAAUUAAAAUUACUUAAGACAUUUUCUACAUUAGUAUCAGUGCUUGGCGUGUAACUCAACUUAAUGCUCUGGUUUGUUUUUUUGUGUUAAAUAUAUGUUGUUUCAUUACUUCAUUUGGAAUCAAUUUUGUGGUGUUUAAAAAGGCAUUCGGCAGACUUAUUGGAUUGGAUAUCUGUCAUCAAUAAAGCAAACUGGUUCAUACUAUUACCAGCUUUCUGUCGGAAGAUGACUACAGUGAUAUUUUGGAGUUCGUUAGGCUCCUUGGACCUUACACGAUGUGUUAAUCAGUUCUUUUGGAUAUCUGUGAUCGAUAAAGCAAAAUGGUUCACAUUGUUACCAGCAUUGUGUCGGAAGAUGACUACAAUGAUAUUUUGGAGUUCGUUAGGCUUCUUGAACUGUUACGCGGUACAUGGAGUUUUGAGUAUCUUCCUACAUGCAUUUCCAUUUGGAUAUUCCUGGUGGUUGUUUGAGAAAGAACUCUGUGGUGUUUUUAAAGAAUUUGGAAGACUUAUAAUUCGGUUUUUGAACUUUUGAAGUUCGUGAUUGCUUGGUUGUAUAACUGGGAAAUAUCCAGAAGAUUGUGUAUGAGAAUGAGACAUUUAUGAGGGAGUUAGAGACUCUCAGUUGAGAACUCGAGCAGCAACGUUAAAAACCCGAAAAGCGUGAGGCACAAUUGGAUCUCAAAGCAAGCAUCUAUCUGUUUUAAGUGAAAAGGAACUCCUGUCAACCUGAAGUCUAUCGAUUAAACCGUCAAAUACCUUUUAUAUCUUCUCGGUCAACUCUGUGAACCAUGAGAAAGCAAACAUGAUGGGAACGAAAAAAUUGGAAACCUUUUACCAGAUAUAUCUUUGUUUGGAUUGCAAUUCCGAUGCAGGUUGCAAGAGAGUUGAGUACUGCGCAUUUGUGCAAGAGAAAUUUGAAGGAGAAAAUGUUCACGCCUUAACAGAGGUGGAUGAUAUUUGUAAAAGACUGGAAGAAAACGAUUUGAUUAGCCUCAAAUAACACCCUUAUCUCCAAAGAGUGCAGAAGUAACCACCAGCCGCAGGAGGCACACAAAGUUUUGAUCGACGGUUUGGAUGGUUUUUAAAUGUACGUCAGCGUCCUCCUGUAAUUGGGAUGAAGCGGACGGUGGAGCUGAAUGAGAAACCAUUUCGAGAUAUUUGCUUCAAGAAGUUCUCGACCACAGAAUGGGAACAGUUGAGCUAUGCUCGUUGUGGCAAAAUAAAAUACAAGAUUCAGAGUGGUAUCUUUGUAAGCAUGUGACAAUCGAUAAAAAGCGUCGUUGCAGGAAGUUAUUAAUGAUGAUGAUAAAAAGUCGAGGAGCUGAAAGAUGAAUGGGGUGAGGAAGUAUGUGAUGCUGUAGCUGCUGCUUUGCUGGAGCAAUUUGCUAGAAAUGCUUGUGGAUAAACUGAACCCAUCAUUCUCCUGAGGCUCAAGCUGAUACAUCAGAAACACUUUGUGCCAUCACCCGUAAUACGCCAUCAGCUCUAUCUGUUAAACUCUCUAGCCCAAGGCUCAUCAGGAUGCAUUUCGGCAGCUAGUUGAUCUGAUAGGAAUCACAUCCAUCAUUUAGAUAAUACGCUAAAGACUCUGGUGUUCCACAAAUUCAAUUUGGUGUUCAAAGAAUAUUUGGUCAUGCACUGGAAGAUACUGAGAUACUUCAAUUGGUUUUUUUAGGAUCUCAACAUAAUGAUAUCCAGUCACUUGAUCCUGGUCUUGGGAGGGGCUCUUGUUGAUAGAAAGAGAAUUUUGAGUCUUAUAUGUGCCUUCUAUUUAGGAUACAAAGAUUGAUGGAUCUUUGUGUAGAUUUUACCCUGCCUGGGUAUCCAGACUACCUGCUUACAUCCAGACAAGAUCGUAGAAUGUGGAAUGAGCUUUUGCAUCCCAUCCAAUUUGAUCAUGGUUACACAGAUAGCAGUCCCCUGAUCAUUUAUCUUUUAAAAAUCAUGAAGGACUUGCAACGUGAUCAAAAACAAGCUUUCAUUCAGUUUGGAACCGGAUCACCUCAACUCCCACAUGGAGACUUAGCAUUUAAACGAAUUGGUUGAUGGGGACUUGCCUUGUGCCAACUAUCUCCUUAUUCUAACCAGAGGAUACAGUGAAGGAGAAGUUGCUUUAUGCUGUAACUGAAGGCUAGGGAUCCAUCUUGCAUGAGAGAACCAGCAAGAUUUUUUUUGUAAUGUCCGAGUGCAACUUCAUAGAGAUUUAAUUUAAUUUAAUUUGUAAUUUUCGUAUUGAUUUUUAAUUUUGAUAAUGAUUUUAAUUUAUUUUAAAUAUAAAAAAAAUAAGAUAGUGGGUUUGGUUGUGGAAUAAUAAUACAUUUUGGUGUUAGUUUGGUAUUUUACAUAUACAUAUCAUUGAUAUAAAUAAGCACUUAGGGUUCCACUGUAGUGUCUGUCUCUCCUCUUUCUCUACUCCAAAUCUGAGAAAGAAAACAUGGGCAAUGGAAGCCGAAUCAGCAGCUCAAAACAGCCAGCGAUCAAGAAUGUUAACAAUCGUCCCCCACCUGUUACUGUUAAAGUGUCAAAAAACAGGCACCCUGAAUGGGCUGAUAGCCCUCGAGCCAAGGACCCUUUAAGCCUCCUUUUGACUGAUGAUGUACCACCACACAGGGAGGAAAAUGAUGUUCCUCAGGUAGAACCAGAAGCAGCACCUGCAUCAACAUGAGUAAGAAGCUUAUGGUGUGUUACGUUUUCUAGGAGUUUGUGAGUUUCACUUUUAUCAUCAGUUUCAGAUUACAUUGAAUGGGGUUAUUUUGGUUUUUACAAGUACAUUUAGGUUUUCUUGAACCAAAUUUUAUCUGUUGUUCAGAUUAUUGAGAAAUUAUGUUCUCAGAUAUUUGGUCUUGGUAUAUAUCAUAGUACAUUAUCUUUUGAUCUAUGGAUGUGUCUUGAAUUACAUUUCGUUAUGCUUUAA